ACGACCUUACUUGAACAGGAUCUGUUCUAUAGGCUCGUACAACUGUUACUUCGAGUACGAAGCAGACAGGCAACAUAAUCUGGUUGAUGACACAAGACCUCAGAAUCAGAGCGUGAUUAAUGGCUAAGAUCGUACGAUUGAGGCCGCAGAGGAUCGUUCUCAGCUGGUCCUCAGACCAGAUGGGGUGAUUCUGGGGUUGUCUGACAGACC
Musa acuminata subsp. malaccensis (wild Malaysian banana) is the source of this 210-nucleotide non-coding RNA. NCBI's taxonomy places the organism in Eukaryota, Viridiplantae, Streptophyta, Magnoliopsida, Zingiberales, Musaceae. The record is from Rfam.